UACAGAGGUCCCAAGCGUUGUUCGGAUUCACUGGGCGUAAAGGGUGCGUAGGCGGUCGGGGUAAGUCUUGAUGUGAAAUCUCACAGCUUAACUGUGAAACUGCAUUGGAUACUAUCCGGCUCGAGGAAUGGAGGGGAGACUGGAAUACUUGGUGUAGCAGUGAAAUGCGUAGAUAUCAAGUGGAACACCAGUGGCGAAGGCGAGUCUCUGGACAUUUCCUGACGCUGAGGCACGAAAGCCAGGGGAGCAAACGGG
Molecule: ribosomal RNA, 255 nt
Filed under: uncultured bacterium
Lineage: Bacteria
Description: partial 16S ribosomal RNA
Rfam family: Bacterial small subunit ribosomal RNA
Source: RNAcentral